This 424-nucleotide ribosomal RNA is filed under the name uncultured bacterium. RNAcentral describes it as "partial 16S ribosomal RNA". It matches the Rfam family "Bacterial small subunit ribosomal RNA", at positions 360 to 776 of the family's 1533-position model. The record is from RNAcentral.
AAUAUUGGACAAUGGGCGAAAGCCUGAUCCAGCCAUGCCGCGUGUGUGAAGAAGGUCUUCGGAUUGUAAAGCACUUUUAGUUGGGAGGAAGGGCAGUAAGUUAAUACCCUUAUGUGUUGAUGUUACCUACAGAUUUAGAACCGGCUCACUUAGUGUCAUCAUCCGCGGUAAUACGAAGAGUGCAAGGGUUAAUAGGAAUUACUGGGCGGAAAGCACGCAUAGGUGGUACGUUAAGUAGGAUGUGAAAGCCCCGGGCUCAACCUGGGAACUGCAUCCAAAACUGGCGAGCUAGAGAACGGUAGAGGGUGGUGGAAUUUCCUGUGUAGCGGUGAAAUGCGUAGAUAUAGGAAGGAACACCAGUGGCGAAGGCGACCACCUGGACUGAUACUGACACUGAAGUGCGAAAGCGUGGGGAGCAAACAGG